AUUCUUCCAUAGUUCAUACAUAUGAUUGGGUAUUUAAUGCUUAUUUGAGUUGUGCCUCCCUCAAACCUUGUUGUAAUGUCAGCGCAUUAUCCAUCUGAUG
Molecule: small nucleolar RNA, 100 nt
Organism: Saimiri boliviensis boliviensis (Bolivian squirrel monkey)
Lineage: Eukaryota; Metazoa; Chordata; Mammalia; Primates; Cebidae
Product: small nucleolar RNA U13
Source: RefSeq, a predicted model, not a curated record